RNAcentral lists this long non-coding RNA (3556 nucleotides) under Homo sapiens (human). Its description in RNAcentral is "non-protein coding lnc-PDLIM4-3:1". The stretch from base 601 to 748 matches the Rfam family "Metazoan signal recognition particle RNA". Lineage: Eukaryota; Metazoa; Chordata; Mammalia; Primates; Hominidae. The record is from RNAcentral.
GUGAAACAGCACAACAUGGGUGGCCAGCUGCCAGGCAGUCAAGAAUUACCGUGCUACAUCAGCAACCCCAGUGUGACCCUGGACCUGAAGUAACAUCUGAGCAACUACCAGGUGUCAUAAAUUGGAUUAGAAAUUGUAAAUGCCUUUGUGGACAGCUUAUCAGCACAAUGGGAAGUCCUAAAUCACAAUUAUUGUCUCAGCGUCAGUAGACAGAAUGAGAGACAAGGUUAAAGAUGAAGCACAGAAUCUGACAUGGAAGCUGAUGGAUCAAGUAGCACCACCAAUGUCCAUCUGGGAACAGUUGGCUAUUGUGUCUCACUGAAAACAUAAAAACCUCUGGGGCUAGGCCAUAAGUUCUCAGAAAGUUGGUAUUUUUUGUAUAUCCUUUUCUGCAAUCCCAACAGUCAGGUGAGAGAUGCUACAAAACUAGCAAUAACAGAGACCUAUAAAAACGUGGGACAGAAGCCAGGCGUGUUGGCUCACGCCUGUAAUCCCAGCACUUUGGGAGGCUGAAGUGAGAGGACUGCUUGAGCUCAGAAGUUUGAGACCAGCCUGGGCAACAUAGCAAGACCCCAUCUGUCUCUACUAAUGAAAAAAUUAGCUGGGCACAGUGGCGUGCACCUGUAGUCCCAGCUACUCAGGAAGCUGAGGCAGGAGGAUUGCUUGAGCACAGGAGUUCAAGGUUGCACUGAGCUAUGACUGUGCCACUGCACUCCAGCCUGGGCAACAGAGUGAGACCCUGUUUCACAUACACACAAAAAAAGAAAUGCAAGAAAGAAAGGGACAGUGGACUUUAUAAGAGAUGAAAUCCUCUUAUUAGAGCACAAAAUGUUGGCAGUAUCAUUUUCCAUGUCUACAAAAAUAAAAAUUUUAAUACAAAGCAUGGAUGAAAACAUGUUGUCAUCCAUUGCUUCAGCCUUUAAGAUUCCUGUACCAAAAAUACCUGGAAAUCCUGUCAACAGCACAAGGAAGCCUGGUUCAGCAGGUGGCCCUAAGGCUGGAGAUGCAUCUAAGGAGAGAAGUGCCAGAGCAGCUGAGAAAGCAUAUCUCUUUUUGUAGUCAAGAGCUUGAAGAAAAUUUUUUUCUCUCUCCUUUUUUUUGGGGGGAGUGGGGGUAGAGACAGAGUCUCACUAUGUUGCCCAGACUGGUCUCAAACUCCUGGCUUCGAGCAAUCCUCCUGCCUUGGUCUCCCCAAGUACUGAGUUACAGAUGUAAGCCACGACACCUGGCAUGGAAGAAAAUUUUAAACACAACUGUGACUGCUGUGCAGGUACACUCAGGAAAAUUCAAUUAGUGCUUGUUGCUGGAGCUGCAAAGUAUGACUGCAUUUUCCAAUACUUCCACUUGUUAAAUGGAUUGCUUAAAUUUACAAAUCCCAGGCAGUGAAAGAAGCUGCAUUGCGAGAGCUGGCUCAUCUUUUAGGUUUGGAGAAUUAUAUUUGAUUAUGGUUCUGAAGCCACCGUACCUACUUUCUUUAAUACAGUUCCCAAAUAAGUACAAAAUGCAUAGGACCAUCUAGAUUUGCAGCAGUAAGAUUCCCUAUCCAGGCAUACUCAAGUCCCCAGGCUCACGCCUUUAAUAACAAGAAACUGUACGUCAAGACCGAUUCAUGUGAGGAGGUAUUCACUUAAAUCUUUAGACUUACUAUUGUAAGAGUGGGGUCAGUUAUUUGAAAGAUGUGGGUAUUUACAAUGCUAAGGACAGAGUAAAGGCAAAAUUAAAAAGGUCAGAAAUCACUUUUCUGGUGAGGCUGAGACAUCAUGCAGCCAAAGUCUUCAAUCUUUAGAAUCCUAGAGGUGUAGCAUCUCUUCCUCUCUAUCAGAUAAGCCCUCAUCCAAUUCACCAGAAAGCCUCAAUUACCUUUUUCCUUCAAAUGAUCUACAGCAAACAUGUGAGCUACAGCUGAAAGAAUGUCAACAGAUAGAAGAACCAGCUCCUUUCCAGAGGCCUGCAGCAUUUCCUAAAGGACCUGGUGUGAGGGCUGUUGCUGGUGCCUAGGCAUGUAUCAUACCACAAGCAUUUCAUAUGGAGUAAGCACUUAGGGAUACAUGCUGAAACCCAGGUUCCUGUUCCCCAGACCAUGAAGGAUCAAAGCCUUCAAUACCACUGACUGGCAAAGGAAAUGUCGAGACAGUUCCUAGGAGAAGAAUACAAACAAAAAUGGCAUCUCAACCACUUGGCAGCUGUGGUCUGAAUUUCCAGAAGAUCCUUAACUAUAAGAGCCCCUCUACCAAGAGGUCUGGCAUUCGGGCCCCAGACAAUUGAGCUACAACACAAUGAGAGGCCAGACAAGAUAAAGGCUGAAUUGUAGCAGAGAAGUCAGUCCAUAGGCAAGAAGCUGCUAUCUUCCACGGGUGAGUGUAAGACAGGGAUACAGUGAGUACAGCCGCACAGCUAGCCAGGAAAGCAACAGAGCCACAGGUCCUGUCUACUCAGCCUCUUGGUCCAGGGUAUGAAAUCAGCCAAGCAGACUGUGGUCUUUGAUCAGGACCAUGAAAGUCCUGAAGACUGGCUCUAACACAGAGGAAGCAGUGGCAGAUGUCUUUAAAAACAAAAACAAAAACCUGCUCCAAGAAGAUAUGAAUCAAGACAAUGCCAACAGGGACUCAUCUAGCACAUCAAGAGUGCCUAUCACUCUUGAAAUGGUGGUGCUCUUACACAUACGCAGCAAGUGGGAGAUGAGGCAGAAGUCCUCCAUGGAUGUGCUUAUCUGCAGAAUUUAUUUAAAAAUUACAAAACACUAAGUUGAGCUGAACUGAAAAAAAAAUUAAAAUUUCACAGUACUAUUUGCAAGGUAAUCAGUAUGCUUUUUAAAACUCUGGUAGACUUCACACCAAUCCAUAAAGAUGACCUUCAAAAUUGAUUUUCCAAUUGCUGAUGCAGCUACACAGAAAAAACAACAAAAAGAAGGCUGAUUUGCUUAGGCGUGUCCAAGCAAAAGUUCAAAAAAUCUUUUCCAAAUGAUCUUUAAUCAAUAUUCUAAUGAGAUCUAUGGUAGAUCAGACCCAAAUGCCAAUCCUAAAGGUAAAGGCUGCUAUCUUUAAGUAUACAGAAACUUUGGCCAAACAGAGAGACCCAGAGGCCUCUAGAAAGAUGCCAGUGAAACUUCUCUGAUGGUGUCUCAGGUCAUCAAUUUUACAACAGAACACAGAAGUUCCAAUAUUUAUAAGGGAACAUAGCCAGUGCUGAUUUGGACUCAAUACCCAAGAGGACACUUUACUAAGCUUUACCCAAGAGGAUACUUUAAUAAGGAGCUUUACCCAAAACCUUUCAGCAGGGUGCUGCCACAUUUCUUCAAAAUCACCUCUGAAUAAAGGCAGGAAGCCAGGGUCCCAGUGGGAGUACUUGGACAAGAACAUUCCACCUGCACCAGCUUAACCAGUCCAGGCCUCUCACUUCCACCUACAUAUCACAGACACAGAAUACUUUGACCUUCAAAUGUAUUUGAUUAUGACACAGAACCAUGGCCUCUGAAGUCAUUUUUAGCUCUCUUAGAGAUGUCCCUGAGACCAUUCAGGAUUUGAGCUUCUGUUGUCAAGAAGACAUGAACGAACCU